GAAAAGGAGGAGCAGAAGGCCAUAUAAGCCUCCUGCUAACAUGCCUUUCCUUACUCCCCGUCAAGGCAGGUGUUUUCCAUUACAACCAGUGAAGUUUAAGGACCUUUCUCCCUUUUAAUUAAGAGAGAUCUGGAGUUCCCAUUGUGCCUCAGACUUUUUCAGCUGUGAAUAGAAUUGUGUUAAAUACUGAAUAUUUUGAAAAUUGGUGGUUCCUAGGAUUUUUUUUUUAGCAUUAACUAUACAAUGCCCUAUAUUUGGAGCUUAUUUCCCUAAAGGGAGCUACAAGUCUGCACUUCUGUGGGGUGUCGGUGAAAGGGACAGUGUAAAAGAAAGAAAACUAGAUUAGGAAUCUCAGACCCAUUACUUAACUUCUGGGCAACCAAAGAUCCUAGAGAUUGAGGAAAGCUGCGUACUGAGGGCAGACAGUUACAACGAUCCCACCUGGAGGCAGCUGAGAGCCCAGGCACCUCGGGGGUCCGGGCCAACUACACUUGAAAAUGAUCGGGCAGGCACCUAAGGACCUCAUCAUCCAGAAGCUCUCUCCACAGGUUAUUUAUACCUUCUGAAUCCAAUUCUCCCUAUGCAACAAGAGAACUGUUCGGUUCUGCAAACAUAUAUUGUAUCUAGGAUAUACUGCAACAUAUCCAACAUAUAAAGGACUGCUUGCCAUCUAGGGAAGGGGGUGGAGGCAGGGAGGGAAAAAAAAUUUGGAACAGAAACGAGUGUCAAUAUAAAGUAAUUAUUAAAUAAAAAUUAAAAAAAAAAAAAAAACAAAAAAAAAACAAACUGUCCUUCUAUCUUAACUCUGCUAUUCUACAUAACAUCUCUAGUUUCUUUGCCUCCCCAAAUCUAAAUGUACUCUUUUCUCGCUUCUACAUUAUGGAAUCCACAACUUCCUUCAAAGCCAGCUCAGUGACCAGCUUCCACACCUAAGCUUUUUUCCUGAUCUCUCUCCCACCAUUAUUAUCGCCCUUCUUCACCUCCACCUCCAUCUUGAAAUCUCUUUUAAUAUUUUGUGUAUUUACUUAUCUGUGUUAAUCAUAUUCUAUCUUCCCAGUAGACUGUAAGUUUCUUGAGAGGAGGGGCUGUUUUGUUUGUAUUUUCCAUGUCCCUAAGAGAUGUACCCAGCACAUCCUAAAUGCUGAGUAAUUUUAUUCAUUGAAUCAUUGAAUUGAGAUCAUUGAAAAAUCAGGUUAA
This is a long non-coding RNA of Antechinus flavipes (yellow-footed antechinus), 1197 nucleotides long. RefSeq lists it as uncharacterized. NCBI's taxonomy places the organism in Eukaryota, Metazoa, Chordata, Mammalia, Dasyuromorphia, Dasyuridae. The transcript has 3 exons. The record is from RefSeq and is a predicted model, not a curated record.